RNAcentral lists this non-coding RNA (250 nucleotides) under unclassified sequences. RNAcentral describes it as "raiA RNA". It matches the Rfam family "raiA RNA". The record is from Rfam by way of RNAcentral.
CUUACUUAGGUCUGUGGUUGCGGGCGCAAGAUGCGCUCUAGUCCAUGGCAGACGAGGCCAAAGGGAUCCACGUAAGCUGGUGCGUGCGCGCAUUGGCGAUCAUGGCUCGUCCUAGAGGUAAGUCGUACCGCCCGUUAGAUGAGAGGCACGGGGCCUCGCGGGCGAGAGGACGGCGUGCGGGGAGCUGCGGCACCCCAAGCUAAGUCCCAGUACGCGAGUGUGGGGUCAAAGACCAGGUCAGCUGGGUAAG